GAUGAAGAACGCAGCGAAAUGAGAUACGUAGUGUGAAUUGCAGAAUUCAGUGAAUCAUCGAAUCUUUGAACGCACAUUGCACCUCUCGGUAUUCCGGGAGGUAUGCCUGUUCGAGCGUCAUUUGUACCCUCAAGCUCUGCUUGGUGUUGGGUGUUUGUUCCGCCUCUGUGUGUGAACUCGCCUCAAAACAAUUGGCAGCCGGCGUACUUGUUUCGGAGCGCAGCACAUUUUGCGAUCCAGAUCAACGUACAGCGGCAUCCAAGAAGCCUUAUUUAACGCUCUUGACCUCGGAUCAGGUAGGGAUACCCGCUGAACUUAAGCAUAUCAAUAAGCGGAGGA
Molecule: unclassified non-coding RNA, 339 nt
Filed under: soil metagenome
Description: partial contains 5.8S ribosomal RNA, internal transcribed spacer 2, and large subunit ribosomal RNA
Rfam family: 5.8S ribosomal RNA (bases 1-120)
Source: RNAcentral